Molecule: ribosomal RNA, 132 nt
Filed under: uncultured bacterium
Lineage: Bacteria
Description: partial 16S ribosomal RNA
Rfam family: Bacterial small subunit ribosomal RNA
Source: RNAcentral
UGCCGCGUGCAGGAAGACGGCCCUAUGGGUUGUAAACUGCUUUUAUACAGGAAGAAACACUGCUACGUGUAGCAGCUUGACGGUACUGUAAGAAUAAGGACCGGCUAACUCCGUGCCAGCAGCCGCGGUAAU